This 596-nucleotide long non-coding RNA is filed under the name Durio zibethinus. RNAcentral's name for it is "long non-coding RNA (DZIB_LNC000685)". Lineage: Eukaryota; Viridiplantae; Streptophyta; Magnoliopsida; Malvales; Malvaceae. The record is from RNAcentral.
AACAAGACACAUAGCCACUUUAGUUGAAAAAAAUGGCAACUCAUCGAGUACUCAAUCAGAAUGAUCGGUUUGCAGAAGAUUUUCGCAAGCUAGAUGAAAAAUAUCCCAGGCCACAGCCGGGCAGAUGGGUCGGGGUGGGGAGGGCUCCUUCUCAAUAUCCUUACGAUCAGAUUCCCUACCAACAGCCCAGGAAGGUGUACGGAAACCAGGUAAUUUAUUAUCCGAGAGACCGUUAUGUUAUCACUAGCGCUGAGGCAGCUCAGAUGUAUGGCGGGAUUGAGUUAAAAGGUUUGUCCAAGUAAAAACUAAUCAAAAACCACGCACCUCAGCUAUGUCUAUUAUAUGAUCAUAUGUUCCACUUGUAAUAUUGUAUGGCAAGUAUCUGUAAUAUGGUAGUAUUUGCUCCUUGUAUAAAUAAUAAAUAAAUAAAUAAUCAUAGUUUUAAUAGUAUUGGGGUUGUAUUUUUACAUAUAGCAAAGUGGAAUUUACACCCUUUCCUAUGAUCAGUACCUAAUUUUUUCUGGUGCAUGCAGCAAUUCUUUUACAUUAACAAAGUCCAAUUAGGUUCAGGGCCUUUGAUCCAAUGUUGGUAUGAU